This 253-nucleotide ribosomal RNA is filed under the name uncultured bacterium. Its description in RNAcentral is "partial 16S ribosomal RNA". It matches the Rfam family "Bacterial small subunit ribosomal RNA", at positions 524 to 776 of the family's 1533-position model. The record is from RNAcentral.
UACGGGGGGGGUAAGCGUUGUUCGGAAUUACUGGGCGUAAAGGGCUCGUAGGCGGCCAACUAAGUCAGACGUGAAAUCCCCAAGCUUAACUUGGGAACUGCAUCCGAUACUGGAUGGCUUGAAUCCGGGAGAGGGAUGCAGAAUUCCAGGUGUAGCGGUUAAAUGCGUAGAUAUCUGGAGGAAUACCGGUGGCGAAGGCGGCAUCCUGGACCGGCAUUGACGCUGAGGAGCGAAAGCUAGGGGAGCAAACGGG